Molecule: long non-coding RNA, 1727 nt
Organism: Drosophila pseudoobscura
Lineage: Eukaryota; Metazoa; Arthropoda; Insecta; Diptera; Drosophilidae
Exons: 4
Source: RefSeq, a predicted model, not a curated record
GUGAAGCGUUUUGCUCCAUACAAAUCAUUCCUUGAUACCUUUCUUCUUGUUCUUUAACUCGAAGAUAUCUUCUGCGUCGCGAUUCUCAGGAGAUUAAUUAGCCCUGGAGUGCUCAACGUUUCCGAUUCUAUAUAUAGUAUAGGCUAUUAAAAAUGCUCUGUUCUUUGUACUAUACCUUUUUUCUCUCAGUGCAUACACAGCCGCUCCCCCCCUUGAGUGGGGGGCUGUAAUUGGCGUUACUCGAGAGGCUGGCAAAUGAAAAAUGAGCCCAGUUUGGGGCCCGCCCGAAUGUGCAAAUAAAUAAAUAAAUAGCUCAAAGGUGAUGUCAAGUGUCGAUUGGGUCACCGAGAGUAGAAAUUCGAUUUUUAGGGUACCAUUUGUUGGAGCAAAAUUGGAGCAAAGGAUGCUCUUUGCCACAAUAGUCCCGGCCAAUUAAAAAGCCCAUAAGUAGUGGAAAUAAUGACAGCAGCCCACAGAUGCAUUUGCCAAGUGUUAGUUUCGGGCUUAAUUAGCUUGGCCAAGGGGGCCAGCAGCGGCGGCAGCAGCAGGAGAACUUGAAACCGCCAACGCUUUGGCCAUUUGAAACUGUCAGCGACAGGCAGCACCGGACAGGACCCGACAUUCUGGGGGCCUGGGCCUGGGCUCCUGCUUGUGGGUCGACUGCUGCUGGCGGCGGCACAUGUCCACAAAACGUUGUAAUUUAUUAGCGGCAGUGGUCCACCCACCCCCCUGUCCGGGCACUGGUCCACCCACCCCCCCUGUCCGGGCACUGGUCCUACACACGCACCAUGAUAAAUGGCAUUUAUAUUGGGUUACACUUGGCCGACACACUGGAGGAAACACUUUUGCAUGCUGUAAUUAUCAAGGAUUCGUUCACAUUCGCCACGCCCUCCGCCCCCCGCCCCAGGUCCUGCCACUUCUGCGUCCUUUCUGCUGUUUGCUGGCUGCCUUUUCAGCUUUAAUUGCCCCUUUUUCUGGACUGUAAGCUGACAAACGCAAUUUGCCUAUACAUUAGCUGUGCUUAAUGCUGCCAAAUUUGGAGUAUUUGAAAGUAUCUGGGAGGAGCUGGAGCUAAAGCUGGAGCUGGCGAAGAUCGAAUAGUCCUCUCAAAUUGGGAGCCAUCUCACGCACUAACAAGCGGUGGAUAAUACAGGAAAAUCUGAGAAAAUGGAAAUAAAUCUCUCUCUCAGAUGCUACCCUUGGCACUAAUCGGAAUUUGGAAACCAAUCAAAGAGCGCUUCCGAUUCCCUCUCCGCUUACCUUUCUGAUUGAUGACCUUCGGACGACGACAACCCACCCCCACCCCUCCGGGAAAGUGUGGGGCGUGUGGAAUAUAUUGACAACUUUGAUCUUUUUAAUUUCUGCCCCUGGAAUUUGAAACUUUUUGCCGACCAGUUGUCACACACAUUUGGGAGUCAAGUUGUCAACGGCACUGUUGCCAUGUUUCCUCGUGCCUUUGCCCUUUAUUAUUAUUUUUUUUUUUGUUAACCCACCCCCGGGGUCCGAGGAGAGGGGAGUAACAGGAGCCACGCAGGUGGCAACUUGUCGCCACUUUAUUAACUGUCAAUCUGGUUGGCAUUUUUUGCGCUUUCGUGAGCUGGAAAUCCAAAAAAAUGUAAUACUCUUCCAAAGAUAGGGAGUCUGAAUUAGGUGUCGAAGAAAAUCCUUGCCUACAGAGAUUUGAUAGACGAUCUACUUGACAAUAAAUUUAUGUUUGUUUUGCCUUA